This is a long non-coding RNA of Prionailurus viverrinus (fishing cat), 3231 nucleotides long. RefSeq lists it as uncharacterized. The transcript has 4 exons. The record is from RefSeq and is a predicted model, not a curated record. Lineage: Eukaryota; Metazoa; Chordata; Mammalia; Carnivora; Felidae.
AAUUCCCCAUCUCAGAAGAUGCCUCCCCUCAUCUCAUCCCCUGUCUCUCCCUUCUCAGCCUCCAACAUGGGAAAGAGAGCCUGACCUGUACCUUGGGUACCUGUAGGAUUGACUCAUUUCCCCUGUACUCACAACCAAUGCCACCAUCAGACUGUGAUCUACGGAUGAUCUCUUUGCCAAAGAAGAUUUUACAUCUUUACUAAAUCACCCCAUCAGCAGCAUUACUGGGUCUCGGGUAAACCCAGGUCAGCCAUCAGUAAGUGAGAAUAAAUACAGGCAGAGAGAGGAAACCAGGCAAAUUUCUGGUGAGACACCAGAGGAUCACCUAUGGCUGUCUAAAGCAUUCCUGCGUCUCUACAUCAAUGCUUUUCCCAGAGCACAGAUAAAAUGAAAUCAAAGAAAUAUUCCAGUUGUGGACAUGAGUAUCCUAAGAGAUGUAAAGAUCCUAUCUGUUUGCCGCCCUGAGGAGCACGAAGAUGACGUUGGUGCCAAUCUUUCAUUAGCGUGAACAAGCCCCAAAUACUCCGGGACCCUUCCCUCCCCAUCACCCUUCAAAGUCCCUGGAGCCCUGGACUCCCCUGCUCACUCACACAUCACUCUGAUACCAACUCACCACCUGGUCCAGAAAGAAAAGGAAACAUCCCACCCCUCACCUUGUCUCUGACCGCCAGUGAGGCAAAUGUUCUUCUCACUCAGGACCCCCCUGCUAUCCAAGCAGAGAUUAGAAAGGAGACAUGAAAGUUUCUUUCCUUGUCCUUCCCUUCUGCUCAUUCACUAUGACAACAGCAAAUGACAUCUCAAAAUUGCCAUCUGCCUCCUGCCUGUGCCGUGCUCUCUUGCACGGAUGGACCGAGAUCUGAUUACGGGGAUGGCAGAUAUUUCAUCCCAAGGGGCCGUUUAACAAAACUUGCUUGCUUUUCCCUCCAGGUGUCACCAGGUGGAAAGACCUCUUUAUAAACACAUCAGGUAUUAAACAUCCACAUUAAUGCUGCCUUUUUAAAAGAGAUGCCCUCAUUCUAACAGUACUGAUAACUGAAAACAUUUCUGGAAGUUCUCUUUGGAACUGGCUCCAGGGUUCUUUAUUCACCAUUCACUGAAUGAUGAAUCCUCCCAUGCCAGACACUGGACUGUGACAAUGAUCAGAACAUAUCAGAACGUUCCCUUGGGAAUGUGUGGUCUAACGGAGGGAGCAGACAUAGAAGCAGGGUGCCCACAGCGUCAUGAUGAGAUCCGAGGUUUGACUGCGGGCAGAGCAGGCCUUUGCCUUGUCCAGUUAUAGGACACUUAGGCCUCUCUGGCUUAAAAAAAAACAAAAAAAAAAAAAAAGGAGGGCCCCACACCAUCCAGUUGAACUAUUCACUAGAUUCGGGGAACCAAAGCUUCAGUAGAAACAGUAAAAGCUCAGAGAAUGAAUUGAGGUAACCCAAGCAGAUGGUCAAGCUCAGUGUCACUUCUAGUCAAAAUCAGUAUCUGAUUCCAAAAGAGAGCUGAUGGAAACGUGGGACUGAUGUUUCAGGAGCCCCAGAUGCCCUGGCAUGAGAAGCUGUCAUCCUCCCUUCCAGGUCCCACUUCUGAGAGCUAUUCAGAGGGGAGUCUGUGCCUCGGGGUCCCAGCCACAGCAGCAGAACCUCCAGGGACACAGUAAUUGGCAAACAAUGGGAUCCACCAACUGUACCUUCUCUGAUGGGGAAGUCUGUUAAAUUGGACACCAAAGCUGCAUCUGUAACACACAGCGGCUCCCUUCCCAAGUACCUGUUCAAGUUCACAGUUUGCUAGUGUUUUCAGUGGAAUUCCUAAUUCCUCUGAGCUGAGAAUACAGUGCUGGCUGGCACACAGCCCAGAAUCUGGAGCCCCAGAGAACAUGAAGGAUAAAGAAGAAGGGGUGUGCUCAGAAAAGCAGGCACAGCCUUGAGAAGCUGGUGGCCAUGUGGUGACACGGGGGAGGAAGAAGAAGGUGUCAGCAGGCAGACGGAGCAGUUAUUAGAGGAGGUAAAAAUGGAGUGAAGAUCUUUUAAAUAACAGUUCUUUGGGGAAUGUAACAAGUAUUCUCCUCUAAAUUAACUUUCUCCAUCCUCAGUCCAGUAAUCCAGACAACUAGUAGUUCUCAAAGCCACACUAACUCUUUUAUCAGGGUUUUCCUAUAUAAAUCCUCAGAGAGUUCUUUGAUAUGCAUUAUGGCACAUUUUAAUCUAAGUUGUGCAUUUUAAUUGAUCCAUUGAAAGAUAAUGUUAGAACUAUAAUGUACUUUUAGAAUUUCUUAACCCCCAGUAUGAUCAUUAACUAUUAAAAUAUGUGUAGAGCCUGAAUCGCAGAUCAGAACAGCACAAGAAUUAACUUAGCCAAGCACUUCACUGAGAUUUUCUAGCUAUGCAGUAAAGUCAAUGAAAAGUUUUCUUUUUUCCAAAAUGGAAACAGCUUUGUUACUUUGUCUAAUAUGUUCAAAAUUCUUUCCAUAAAGAAUAUCAAAUAUGAAAAUCAUCUAGGAUCCCCUCCAGUGGAAGUUACUGCUGUUAAUAUUUUGUUGUACACCCUUCUAAGCUUUUGUAAGCAUAUAUGUACAUAUGAACUCUUUCAAAACCAAGAUCAUGUUACACAUAUAGUUGAUAACUCAGUAAUAUACUAUUAAGACUAAACUAUGUUAACAAAUAUUAUUUUUUAAUGUAAUUUUUACUGGCUACAUAAUAUUCCAUUUCAUGUAUAUGCCAUGAUUUAUUUAACCAAUCUCCUAUUGAUAGACAUCUGCAGCCGUUUCCAAUAUUUCACUUAUAAACAACUAUAACUACAGAAAAUUAUAAAUAAGAUUGCUUUACACUUCUCCCUACAAAUAAGCUUGAAAAUCUGGAUAAAAUAGAUGAUUUUCUAGGAAUACAUAAAUUACCAAAAUAGACACCAAAAUGGGUAAGAAACUUAGACCAAUAAGUAUAGGAUUUUUUAAUAGCCCCAGGGCUACCUCUCCAAAAAAGCCAUAACCAGAUAAUUUUCGAGUGAAAUUUUCCAAAUCUUUAAAAAUUCUAUUUGUAGUAGUCCAAAGAAUAAAGAAAGAAAUUCUCUCAAAUUCUCUUUUUAAAAUUAAGAAUAACACUGACACCAAACCCAACAAAGAUGGUACAGAAAAAGAAAAUAAGCCAACCUCACUUCUGAGUAUCAACAGAAAAAUUCUAAAUGAAAUUUAGCAGGAGCGCCUGGAUGGCUCAGUCGGUUGAGUGUCAGACUCUUGAUUUCAACUCAGGU